UAGGGAAUCUUCGGCAAUGGACGAAAGUCUGACCGAGCAACGCCGCGUGAGUGAAGAAGGUUUUCGGAUCGUAAAACUCUGUUGUUAGAGAAGAACAAGGACGUUAGUAACUGAACGUCCCCUGACGGUAUCUAACCAGAAAGCCACGGCUAACUACGUGCCAGCAGCCGCGGUAAUACGUAGGUGGCAAGCGUUGUCCGGAUUUAUUGGGCGUAAAGCGAGCGCAGGCGGUUUCUUAAGUCUGAUGUGAAAGCCCCCGGCUCAACCGGGGAGGGUCAUUGGAAACUGGGAGACUUGAGUGCAGAAGAGGAGAGUGGAAUUCCAUGUGUAGAGGUGAAAUGCGUAGAUAUAUGGAGGAACACCAGUGGCGAAGGCGGCUCUCUGGUCUGUAACUGACGCUGAGGCUCGAAAGCGUGGGGAGCAAACAGG
This 429-nucleotide ribosomal RNA is filed under the name Chloroflexota bacterium. Its description in RNAcentral is "Chloroflexi bacterium partial 16S ribosomal RNA". It matches the Rfam family "Bacterial small subunit ribosomal RNA", at positions 355 to 776 of the family's 1533-position model. The record is from RNAcentral. Lineage: Bacteria; Bacillati; Chloroflexota. RNAcentral also lists the same sequence under 1 other name.